RNAcentral lists this ribosomal RNA (453 nucleotides) under Triticum aestivum (bread wheat). Its description in RNAcentral is "partial small subunit ribosomal RNA". The record is from RNAcentral. Lineage: Eukaryota; Viridiplantae; Streptophyta; Magnoliopsida; Poales; Poaceae.
AUGAGAGUUCUACCAUUGAACUGGACGACUCCUUUGAUGAGACCAGCAUGCGUUUUGUGCGACGAAUCCAGGAGUCAAGGCCUUGGGGACAUAGCGAUAGUAUGGCUAACCAAGCUUUUCAACCUCAGUUUUCGGGCAAACAAGAUGCCAGAAGAAUGGAGACGGAGUAUUAUUAGUACCAACCUUCAAGAACGGGGGGAUGUUCGGAGUUGUACUAAUUACCGUGGAAUUAAGCUGAUGAGCCAUACAAUGAAGCUAUGGGAGAGAGCCAUUGAGCACCGCUUAAGAAGAAUGACAAGCGUGACCAAAAAUCAGUUUGGUUUCAUGCCUACGAGGUCGACCAUGGAAGCCAUUUUCUUGGUAAGACAACUUAUGGAGAGAUACAGGGAGCAAAAGAAGGACUUGUGUUAUGACCGGUUUGGUCUAUACAAAAAGAGGCCCACCGGGCAUUAG